AUGGGGCCGCCGCGCGCCGGCGACCUGGUGACCACGCAGGUCAGCCUGGGCGGGUUCGACGCCGCCGUCCGGGCGCGCGACCUCGCCGACUUCCUCGAGCUCGAGGCGGGCCCCGUCUGGCGCUGCCGCGUCAAGACCUCCACGACCCCGCAGGACGCGGACCCCGACUUCCUCCUCCCCGCCGCCGCCGCCGCCGCCGCCCUCGACCCCGGCCAGGCGCAGCAGCGGCUCGUCCCCGUGCCGCCGCACGCCUUCGUCCACUUCGCGCGCCCGGAGGCGGCCCGCCGCGCCGCCGACGCCGCCGGCCGCUGCGAGCUCAUCCUCUCCGGGAAGCCGCUCCGCGCCGCCUCCGCGCCCGACAGCGCGCUCCGGGCCUCCCGCCGCCGCGGCGUCGCGCCGUUCCGCUUCCCCGGGUCCCGCCUCGAGGUCGGCGACCUCCCCGCCCCCGACGCCUUCCUCGCCGCCUGGCGCUGCCCCGGCCCGGACGACGGCGCCGGCGGGCUCGAGUUCGCCGUCGACCCGUUCGACGGCUCCUGCCGCUUCGUCUUCGCCCGCGACACCGCCUUCGCGUUCAGGGAACUCCGCGAGGCCGCCGUCGUCAUGCGCUGCGACGUCAAGCUCGAGUUCCCCGUCCGCGACGUCGCCGAGGUCAGGGUGUUCAAGCUCGACUGCUCGCUGCUGCUCCGGCUCUCGGCGGCGCCGCUCGUCUACUACCGCACGGCGGACGACGACAUCUACGAGUCCGUGCCGUUCGACCUGCUCGACGACGACGACCCGUGGAUCCGGACCACCGACAUCACCCCCAGCGGUGCCAUCGGGCGGUGCGGCGUUUACAGGAUCACAAUCCCGGCGCGGUUCUGGUCCAAGAUGGAGCGCGCGCUGGCCUACAUGAAGGAGAGGAGGGUGACCGUCGUCGAGUGCGGCGGUGGGUGGGGGGCCAGGAGGAGGGGGCUCACCGUGCGUGACGAGCCCGAGUUUGGGGAGCGGAUGCAGGACCUCUUCUUCUGCGUGCAGCACGCCGAGGGGAUCAAGUUUCCGGCGCUGUUCCUCGUGAACGCGCUGGUGCACAAGGGAGUGAUCAAUCAGCACCAGCUCACGCCUGAAUUCUUCGGUUUGCUCCUGGGGAGGGAGGAGGAUGUCAAUGUGGCUGCACUCAAGGAAUUCUGGGGGAUCAAAUUCCCGGUCUUCGAUGCGUGCCGGAGGCUGAAGAAUCUGCAGGACAGGGUUGCCAGAAACCCCAAACUCCUUAACAGCAAGAUUGGGGAUGACCAUUCUGAGGUGAGGAGGCUGGUGAUCACGCCCACCAGGGCGUAUUGCCUGCCGCCGCAAGUGGAGCGCUCUAACCGUGUUGUCCGGCAUUAUUGCGUAGUCGCGGACAGGUUCCUCAGGGUAACUUUUAUGGAUGAGGGCAUGCAGCAACUCAACAGCAAUGUGCUGAAUUUCUCUGCUGCUCAGAUCGUCAAGGAUUUGAUGUCAAACUCGUUCCUGCAGCAUAAGACAACAGUGUACAAGCGUGUUAAGACAUUUUUGACAGAAGGUUUCCACAUGUGUGGCCGGAAAUACUCGUUUCUUGCAUUCUCAUCAAACCAGCUGAGGGACAGAUCUGCCUGGUUCUUUGCAGAGGACAGAACGGACAGAACGAGAACUGUAGAAAGCAUCAGGAAAUGGAUGGGCCGGUUCACAAGUAAGAAUGUAGCAAAGCAUACUGCUCGGAUGGGGCAGUGCUUCUCAUCGACAUAUGCAACGGUGGUGAUGCAGCCACAUGAGGUCAAUGAGUGUCUUGAGGAUGUUGAACGUAAUGGGUACGUUUUCUCUGAUGGAAUCGGCAAGAUUACCCAGGAACUUGCACUGGAAGUCGCUAAGAAGCUGCAACUGACAGAUAAUCCCCCAUCUGCUUACCAGAUCAGGUAUGCAGGCUUCAAGGGUGUUAUAGCUGUCUGGGAAGGAGAGAAUGAUGGGAUACAGCUUUCCCUGAGGCCAAGCAUGCACAAGUUUGACUCUUCCCACACUGUGUUAGAGGUGGUCUCAUGGACAAAGUUUCAGCCAGGAUUCUUAAACCGUCAGAUCAUUACAUUACUCUCCUCCUUGAAUGUCCCGGAUGCUAUCUUUUCACAAAUGCAGAAAGACAUGCUGUCUAAUCUCAACAAUAUUUUGACUGACACUGAUGUUGCUUUUGACGUUGUAACCACCUCUUGUGCUGACGAAGGAAACACCGCAGCACUGAUGUUGAGUGCUGGCAUUUCACCUGGAACUGAGCCGCACCUGAAAGCAUUGCUGUUGGCUAUAAGGUCCUCACAGCUACUGGGUCUUUUGGAAAAAUCAAGGAUUUUUGUUCCCAAGGGAAGGUGGUUGAUGGGCUGCCUUGAUGAACUUGGGAUCCUUGAGCAAGGACAGUGCUUUAUUCGGGCCUCAUCUCCAGUACUCAAUAAUUCUCUGCUGAAGCAUGCACCAAGAUCUUCCUCAGAGAACAACAAUGCAGAGACCGUUAUAGGUACUGUUGUAAUGGCAAAGAAUCCGUGCCUUCAUCCAGGGGAUGUCCGGAUCCUUGAAGCCAUUGAUGUGCCUGCUUUGCAUCACCUUGUUGAUUGCUUGGUCUUUCCCAAGAAUGGCGAGAGGCCACACGCCAAUGAAGCAUCUGGGAGUGAUCUUGAUGGGGAUCUAUACUUUGUGACCUGGGAUGAAAAACUUAUCCCACCGGGCAAAAGAAGCUGGAACCCUAUGGACUACUCCCCAGCCGAAGCAAAACAACUACCGCGCAAAGUAACCCAAUCUGAUAUCGUUGAUUUCUUUUUGAAGAACAUGGUAAAUGAGAAACUGGGUCCGAUAAGCAAUGCUCAUGUUGUCCAUGCCGAUAUGAGCGAGUAUGGAGCAAUGGACGAGAAGUGCAUUCAGUUGGCAGAACUAGCAGCAUUCGCUGUUGACUUCCCCAAGACGGGCAAAAUCGUGUCGAUGCCGCCGGCCCUUCGACCAAAACUCUACCCCGACUUCAUGGGGAAGGAUGAUGCCAUCUCCUACAAAUCAGAGAAGAUCCUCGGAAGGCUGUACCGGUCGAUCCAAGAAGCCUCCAGCAGCGACCUGGUCCCAGAAGAAACCUGCACGCUGAACGACCUGCCUUACGACACGGACAUGGAGGUCCCCGGCGCGGCGGAUUUCCUGUCGAGCGCGUGGCAGUGCAAGUGCUCGUACGAGGCGCAGCUGGACGCGCUGCUCAAGCAGUACGGCGUGCGCACGGAGGCGGAGCUGGUGACGGAGCACAUAUGGUCGCUCCCCAAGUACAACAGCAGGAAGCAGGGGGACAUAAAGGAGAGGCUGAAGAACGCCUACUCUGCUCUCCGCAAGGAGUUCCGGGCCAUCUUCGAGAGCGUCGAGGCCGGCCUGGACGAGGACGAGAGGAACCGGGUGUACGAGAUGAAGGCCUCGGCGUGGUACCAGGUGACCUACCACCCCAAAUGGGUCCAGAGGUCGAGGGAGGCGCUGGAGCCCGACCGCGAGGAGGAGGACGCGCCGGCGAGGCUUAGCUUUGCGUGGAUCCCGGUGGAGCACCUGGCGCGGAUCAAGCUGCGGUGCCGCGGGGGAGUGAAGGUGGGCCGCCGGGGGCCCGUCGAGAGGCUCGCCGCCUACAUGUCUUGGAGCCUGUGA
Molecule: ribosomal RNA, 3639 nt
Filed under: Triticum aestivum (bread wheat)
Lineage: Eukaryota; Viridiplantae; Streptophyta; Magnoliopsida; Poales; Poaceae
Description: partial small subunit ribosomal RNA
Source: RNAcentral